ACGAACGCUGGCGGCAUGCCUAAUACAUGCAAGUCGAACGAGAUCUUCGGAUCUAGUGGCGCACGGGUGCGUAACGCGUGGGAAUCUACCCUUGGGUUCGGAAUCACAGUUAGAAAUGACUGCUAAUACCGGAUGAUGACGUAAGUCCAAAGAUUUAUCGCCCAAGGAUGAGCCCGCGUAGGAUUAGCUUGUUGGUGAGGUAAAAGCUCACCAAGGCGACGAUCCUUAGCUGGUCUGAGAGGAUGAUCAGCCACACUGGGACUGAGACACGGCCCAGACUCCUACGGGAGGCAGCAGUAGGGAAUAUUGGACAAUGGGGGAAACCCUGAUCCAGCAAUGCCGCGUGAGUGAUGAAGGCCUUCGGGUUGUAAAGCCCUUUUGGCGGGGACGAUAAUGACGGUACCCGCAGAAUAAGCCCCGGCUAACUUCGU
This 431-nucleotide ribosomal RNA is filed under the name uncultured bacterium. RNAcentral describes it as "bacterial SSU rRNA". It matches the Rfam family "Bacterial small subunit ribosomal RNA", at positions 29 to 506 of the family's 1533-position model. The record is from RNAcentral.